Molecule: ribosomal RNA, 468 nt
Filed under: uncultured bacterium
Lineage: Bacteria
Description: partial 16S ribosomal RNA
Rfam family: Bacterial small subunit ribosomal RNA
Source: RNAcentral
GACGAACGCUGGCGGCGUGCCUAACACAUGCAAGUCGAACGGAAAGGCCAUGCUUUUUUGCGGUGUUCGGCUUGCGAAGGGGUGAGCAACACGUGAGUCCCCUGCCCUUGACUUUGGGAUAACUUCAGGACACUGGAGCUACUCCCGCAAAGGAGCUCCCGCUGUAUGGUGGGCGUUGGACAGUUUCGGCGGUUGGGGAUGGACACGCGGCUUAUCAGCUUGUUGGUUGGGUAGUGGCAUACCAAGGCUUUGACGGGUAGCCGGCCUGAGAGGGUGACAGGCUCCAUUAGGACGGAGAUACGGCCCAGACUCCUCCGGGAGGCAGGGAAGGGGAAGAUAGCACGAGGGGAGGAGGCCUAAUGCAGCAACGCCGCGUGGGGGAUGACGGCCUGGCGAUUGUGAGCCGCUUUUGCCUGUGGCGAGGCGUGAAUGACGGUAAUGGGUAAAUAAGCACCGGCUAACUACGUG